RNAcentral lists this long non-coding RNA (37148 nucleotides) under Xyrichtys novacula (pearly razorfish). The stretch from base 5 to 102 matches the Rfam family "tRNA". Lineage: Eukaryota; Metazoa; Chordata; Actinopteri; Labriformes; Labridae. The record is from RNAcentral.
GAGCACCUUGAUAGCUCAGUUGGUAGAGCGGUGGACUGUAAGAUGCUCCUUGUGUGAAACGCUGUGAUCCUAAGGUCGCUGGUUCAACUCCAGCUCCAAGCACCUCCUUGUCAUUGGAAAUACCCCAAGCCUUGUCUUUAUCUGUCAACUCCUCCAAAAUGUCAAAACACAAAGAAGAUAACUCUUUCUUAAAUUUUCAACCAUCAAUUUUUUAUUCACCCAGCCUAAAAGUCCUGAUUAUCAGUUCUGGGUCCCUGGCAAUGACUGUUGGGUACAAACUGCAAAGCUUUGUUCUGCAGGUAGGGCUGGGCUUUUCAUUGACCAUGGGUUGGAAUAGUUCUGUGGGCAUAGUGUGUCUUUGAAGCCACUAUGUUUUCUGCACUUGUGACUAGAGAGCACCUUGAUAGCUCAGUUGGUAGAGCGGUGGACUGUAAGAUGCUCCUUGUGUGAAACGCCGUGAUCCUAAGCUCGCUGGUUCAACUCCAGCUCCAAGCACCUCCUUGUCAUUGGAAAUACCCCCAAGCCUUGUCUUUAUCUGUCAACUCCUCCAAAAUGUCAAAACACAAAGAAGAUAACUCUUUCUUAAAUUUUCAACCAUCAAUUUUUUAUUCACCCAGCCUAAAAGUCCUGAUUAUCAGUUCUGGGUCCCUGGCAAUGACUGUUGGGUACAAACUGCAAAGCUUUGUUCUGCAGGUAGGGCUGGGCUUUUCAUUGACCAUGGGUUGGAAUAGUUCUGUGGGCAUAGUGUGUCUUCGAAGCCACUAUGUUUUCUGCACUUGUGACUAGAGAGCACCUUGAUAGCUCAGUUGGUAGAGCGGUGGACUGUAAGAUGCUCCUUGUGUGAAACGCCGUGAUCCUAAGGUCGCUGGUUCAACUCCAGCUCCAAGCACCUCCUUGUCAUUGGAAAUACCCCCAAGCCUUGUCUUUAUCUGUCAACUCCUCCAAAAUGUCAAAACACAAAGAAGAUAACUCUUUCUUAAAUUUUCAACCAUCAAUUUUUUAUUCACCCAGCCUAAAAGUCCUGAUUAUCAGUUCUGGGUCCCUGGCAAUGACUGUUGGGUACAAACUGCAAAGCUUUGUUCUGCAGGUAGGGCUGGGCUUUUCAUUGACCAUGGGUUGGAAUAGUUCUGUGGGCAUAGUGUGUCUUCGAAGCCACUAUGUUUUCUGCACUUGUGACUAGAGAGCACCUUGAUAGCUCAGUUGGUAGAGCGGUGGACUGUAAGAUGCUCCUUGUGUGAAACGCCGUGAUCCUAAGGUCGCUGGUUCAACUCCAGCUCCAAGCACCUCCUUGUCAUUGGAAAUACCCCCAAGCCUUGUCUUUAUCUGUCAACUCCUCCAAAAUGUCAAAACACAAAGAAGAUAACUCUUUCUUAAAUUUUCAACCAUCAAUUUUUUAUUCACCCAGCCUAAAAGUCCUGAUUAUCAGUUCUGGGUCCCUGGCAAUGACUGUUGGGUACAAACUGCAAAGCUUUGUUCUGCAGGUAGGGCUGGGCUUUUCAUUGACCAUGGGUUGGAAUAGUUCUGUGGGCAUAGUGUGUCUUCGAAGCCACUAUGUUUUCUGCACUUGUGACUAGAGAGCACCUUGAUAGCUCAGUUGGUAGAGCGGUGGACUGUAAGAUGCUCCUUGUGUGAAACGCUGUGAUCCUAAGGUCGCUGGUUCAACUCCAGCUCCAAGCACCUCCUUGUCAUUGGAAAUACCCCCAAGCCUUGUCUUUAUCUGUCAACUCCUCCAAAAUGUCAAAACACAAAGAAGAUAACUCUUUCUUAAAUUUUCAACCAUCAAUUUUUUAUUCACUCAGCCUAAAAGUCCUGAUUAUCAGUUCUGGGUCCCUGGCAAUGACUGUUGGGUACAAACUGCAAAGCUUUGUUCUGCAGGUAGGGCUGGGCUUUUCAUUGACCAUGGGUUGGAAUAGUUCUGUGGGCAUUGUGUGUCUUCGAAGCCACUAUGUUUUCUGCACUUGUGACUAGAGAGCACCUUGAUAGCUCAGUUGGUAGAGCGGUGGACUGUAAGAUGCUCCUUGUGUGAAACGCUGUGAUCCUAAGGUCGCUGGUUCAACUCCAGCUCCAAGCACCUCCUUGUCAUUGGAAAUACCCCCAAGCCUUGUCUUUAUCUGUCAACUCCUCCAAAAUGUCAAAACACAAAGAAGAUAACUCUUUCUUAAAUUUUCAACCAUCAAUUUUUUAUUCACCCAGCCUAAAAGUCCUGAUUAUCAGUUCUGGGUCCAUGGCAAUGACUGUUGGGUACAAACUGCAAAGCUUUGUUCUGCAGGUAGGGCUGGGCUUUUCAUUGACCAUGGGUUGGAAUAGUUCUGUGGGCAUAGUGUGUCUUCGAAGCCACUAUGUUUUCUGCACUUGUGACUAGAGAGCACCUUGAUAGCUCAGUUGGUAGAGCGGUGGACUGUAAGAUGCUCCUUGUGUGAAACGCUGUGAUCCUAAGGUCGCUGGUUCAACUCCAGCUCCAAGCACCUCCUUGUCAUUGGAAAUACCCCCAAGCCUUGUCUUUAUCUGUCAACUCCUCCAAAAUGUCAAAACACAAAGAAGAUAACUCUUUCUUAAAUUUUCAACCAUCAAUUUUUUAUUCACCCAGCCUAAAAGUCCUGAUUAUCAGUUCUGGGUCCCUGGCAAUGACUGUUGGGUACAAACUGCAAAGCUUUGUUCUGCAGGUAGGGCUGGGCUUUUCAUUGACCAUGGGUUGGAAUAGUUCUGUGGGCAUAGUGUGUCUUCGAAGCCACUAUGUUUUCUGCACUUGUGACUAGAGAGCACCUUGAUAGCUCAGUUGGUAGAGCGGUGGCCUGUAAGAUGCUCCUUGUGUGAAACGCUGUGAUCCUAAGGUCGCUGGUUCAACUCCAGCUCCAAGCACCUCCUUGUCAUUGGAAAUACCCCCAAGCCUUGUCUUUAUCUGUCAACUCCUCCAAAAUGUCAAAACACAAACAAGAUAACUCUUUCUUAAAUUUUCAACCAUCAAUUUUUUAUUCACCCAGCCUAAAAGUCCUGAUUAUCAGUUCUGGGUCCCUGGCAAUGACUGUUGGGUACAAACUGCAAAGCUUUGUUCUGCAGGUAGGGCUGGGCUUUUCAUUGACCAUGGGUUGGAAUUGUUCUGUGGGCAAAGUGUGUCUUCGAAGCCACUAUGUUUUCUGCACUUGUGACUAGAGAGCACCUUGAUAGCUCAGUUGGUAGAGCGGUGGACUGUAAGAUGCUCCUUGUGUGAAACGCCGUGAUCCUAAGCUCGCUGGUUCAACUCCAGCUCCAACCACCUCCUUGUCAUUGGAAAUACCCCCAAGCCUUGUCUUUAUCUGUCAACUCCUCCAAAAUGUCAAAACACAAAGAAGAUAACUCUUUCUUAAAUUUUCAACCAUCAAUUUUUUAUUCACUCAGCCUAAAAGUCCUGAUUAUCAGUUCUGGGUCCCUGGCAAUGACUGUUGGGUACAAACUGCAAAGCUUUGUUCUGCAGGUAGGGCUGGGCUUUUCAUUGACCAUGGGUUGGAAUAGUUCUGUGGGCAUAGUGUGUCUUCGAAGCCACUAUGUUUUCUGCACUUGUGACUAGAGAGCACCUUGAUAGCUCAGUUGGUAGAGCGGUGGACUGUAAGAUGCUCCUUGUGUGAAACGCUGUGAUCCUAAGGUCGCUGGUUCAACUCCAGCUCCAAGCACCUCCUUGUCAUUGGAAAUACCCCCAAGCCUUGUCUUUAUCUGUCAACUCCUCCAAAAUGUCAAAACACAAACAAGAUAACUCUUUCUUAAAUUUUCAACCAUCAAUUUUUUAUUCACUCAGCCUAAAAGUCCUGAUUAUCAGUUCUGGGUCCCUGGCAAUGACUGUUGGGUACAAACUGCAAAGCUUUGUUCUGCAGGUAGGGCUGGGCUUUUCAUUGACCAUGGGUUGGAAUAGUUCUGUGGGCAUAGUGUGUCUUCGAAGCCACUAUGUUUUCUGCACUUGUGACUAGAGAGCACCUUGAUAGCUCAGUUGGUAGAGCGGUGGACUGUAAGAUGCUCCUUGUGUGAAACGCCGUGAUCCUAAGGUCGCUGGUUCAACUCCAGCUCCAAGCACCUCCUUGUCAUUGGAAAUACCCCCAAGCCUUGUCUUUAUCUGUCAACUCCUCCAAAAUGUCAAAACACAAACAAGAUAACUCUUUCUUAAAUUUUCAACCAUCAAUUUUUUAUUCACUCAGCCUAAAAGUCCUGAUUAUCAGUUCUGGGUCCCUGGCAAUGACUGUUGGGUACAAACUGCAAAGCUUUGUUCUGCAGGUAGGGCUGGGCUUUUCAUUGACCAUGGGUUGGAAUAGUUCUGUGGGCAUAGUGUGUCUUCGAAGCCACUAUGUUUUCUGCACUUGUGACUAGAGAGCACCUUGAUAGCUCAGUUGGAAGAGAAGUGGACUGUAAGAUGCUCCUUGUGUGAAACGCCGUGAUCCUAAGGUCGCUGGUUCAACUCCAGCUCCAAGCACCUCCUUGUCAUUGGAAAUACCCCCAAGCCUUGUCUUUAUCUGUCAACUCCUCCAAAAUGUCAAAACACAAACAAGAUAACUCUUUCUUAAAUUUUCAACCAUCAAUUUUUUAUUCACUCAGCCUAAAAGUCCUGAUUAUCAGUUCUGGGUCCCUGGCAAUGACUGUUGGGUACAAACUGCAAAGCUUUGUUCUGCAGGUAGGGCUGGGCUUUUCAUUGACCAUGGGUUGGAAUAGUUCUGUGGGCAUAGUGUGUCUUCGAAGCCACUAUGUUUUCUGCACUUGUGACUAGAGAGCACCUUGAUAGCUCAGUUGGUAGAGCGGUGGACUGUAAGAUGCUCCUUGUGUGAAACGCCGUGAUCCUAAGGUCGCUGGUUCAACUCCAGCUCCAAGCACCUCCUUGUCAUUGGAAAUACCCCCAAGCCUUGUCUUUAUCUGUCAACUCCUCCAAAAUGUCAAAACACAAACAAGAUAACUCUUUCUUAAAUUUUCAACCAUCAAUUUUUUAUUCACUCAGCCUAAAAGUCCUGAUUAUCAGUUCUGGGUCCCUGGCAAUGACUGUUGGGUACAAACUGCAAAGCUUUGUUCUGCAGGUAGGGCUGGGCUUUUCAUUGACCAUGGGUUGAAAUAGUUCUGUGGGCAUAGUGUGUCUUCGAAGCCACUAUGUUUUCUGCACUUGUGACUAGAGAGCACCUUGAUAGCUCAGUUGGUAGAGCGGUGGACUGUAAGAUGCUCCUUGUGUGAAACGCCGUGAUCCUAAGGUCGCUGGUUCAACUCCAGCUCCAAGCACCUCCUUGUCAUUGGAAAUACCCCCAAGCCUUGUCUUUAUCUGUCAACUCCUCCAAAAUGUCAAAACACAAAGAAGAUAACUCUUUCUUAAAUUUUCAACCAUCAAUUUUUUAUUCACUCAGCCUAAAAGUCCUGAUUAUCAGUUCUGGGUCCCUGGCAAUGACUGUUGGGUACAAACUGCAAAGCUUUGUUCUGCAGGUAGGGCUGGGCUUUUCAUUGACCAUGGGUUGGAAUAGUUCUGUGGGCAUAGUGUGUCUUCGAAGCCACUAUGUUUUCUGCACUUGUGACUAGAGAGCACCUUGAUAGCUCAGUUGGUAGAGCGGUGGACUGUAAGAUGCUCCUUGUGUGAAACGCCGUGAUCCUAAGGUCGCUGGUUCAACUCCAGCUCCAAGCACCUCCUUGUCAUUGGAAAUACCCCCAAGCCUUGUCUUUAUCUGUCAACUCCUCCAAAAUGUCAAAACACAAACAAGAUAACUCUUUCUUAAAUUUUCAACCAUCAAUUUUUUAUUCACUCAGCCUAAAAGUCCUGAUUAUCAGUUCUGGGUCCCUGGCAAUGACUGUUGGGUACAAACUGCAAAGCUUUGUUCUGCAGGUAGGGCUGGGCUUUUCAUUGACCAUGGGUUGAAUAGUUCUGUGGGCAUAGUGUGUCUUCGAAGCCACUAUGUUUUCUGCACUUGUGACUAGAGAGCACCUUGAUAGCUCAGUUGGUAGAGCGGUGGACUGUAAGAUGCUCCUUGUGUGAAACGCUGUGAUCCUAAGGUCGCUGGUUCAACUCCAGCUCCAAGCACCUCCUUGUCAUUGGAAAUACCCCCAAGCCUUGUCUUUAUCUGUCAACUCCUCCAAAAUGUCAAAACACAAAGAAGAUAACUCUUUCUUAAAUUUUCAACCAUCAAUUUUUUAUUCACCCAGCCUAAAAGUCCUGAUUAUCAGUUCUGGGUCCCUGGCAAUGACUGUUGGGUACAAACUGCAAAGCUUUGUUCUGCAGGUAGGGCUGGGCUUUUCAUUGACCAUGGGUUGGAAUAGUUCUGUGGGCAUAGUGUGUCUUCGAAGCCACUAUGUUUUCUGCACUUGGGACUAGAGAGCACCUUGAUAGCUCAGUUGGUAGAGCGGUGGCCUGUAAGAUGCUCCUUGUGUGAAACGCUGUGAUCCUAAGGUCGCUGGUUCAACUCCAGCUCCAAGCACCUCCUUGUCAUUGGAUAUACCCCCAAGCCUUGUCUUUAUCUGUCAACUCCUCCAAAAUUUCAAAACACAAAGAAGAUAACUCUUUCUUAAAUUUUCAACCAUCAAUUUUUUAUUCACCCAGCCUAAAAGUCCUGAUUAUCAGUUCUGGGUCCCUGGCAAUGACUGUUGUGUACAAACUGCAAAGCUUUGUUCUGCAGGUAGGGCUGGGCUUUUCAUUGACCAUGGGUUGGAAUAGUUCUGUGGGCAUAGUGUGUCUUUGAAGCCACUAUGUUUUCUGCACUUGUGACUAGAGAGCACCUUGAUAGCUCAGUUGUUAGAGCGGUGGACUGUAAGAUCCUCCUUGUGUGAAACGCUGUGAUCCUAAGGUCGCUGGUUCAACUCCACCUCCAAGCACCUCCUUGUCAUUGGAAAUACCCCCAAGCCUUGUCUUUAUCUGUCAACUCCUCCAAAAUGUCAAAACACAAACAAGAUAACUCUUUCUUAAAUUUUCAACCAUCAAUUUUUUAUUCACCCAGACUAAAAGUCCUGAUUAUCAGUUCUGGGUCCCUGGCAAUGACUGUUGGGUACAAACUGCAAAGCUUUGUUCUGCAGGUAGGGCUGGGCUUUUCAUUGACCAUGGGUUGGAAUAGUUCUGUGGGCAUAGUGUGUCUUCGAAGCCACUAUGUUUUCUGCACUUGUGACUAGAGAGCACCUUGAUAGCUCAGUUGGUAGAGCGGUGGACUGUAAGAUGCUCCUUGUGUGAAACGCCGUGAUCCUAAGCUCGCUGGUUCAACUCCAGCUCCAAGCACCUCCUUGUCAUUGGAAAUACCCCCAAGCCUUGUCUUUAUCUGUCAACUCCUCCAAAAUGUCAAAACACAAAGAAGAUAACUCUUUCUUAAAUUUUCAACCAUCAAUUUUUUAUUCACUCAGCCUAAAAGUCCUGAUUAUCAGUUCUGGGUCCCUGGCAAUGACUGUUGGGUACAAACUGCAAAGCUUUGUUCUGCAGGUAGGGCUGGGCUUUUCAUUGACCAUGGGUUGGAAUAGUUCUGUGGGCAUAGUGUGUCUUCGAAGCCACUAUGUUUUCUGCACUUGUGACUAGAGAGCACCUUGAUAGCUCAGUUGGUAGAGCGGUGGACUGUAAGAUGCUCCUUGUGUGAAACGCUGUGAUCCUAAGGUCGCUGGUUCAACUCCAGCUCCAAGCACCUCCUUGUCAUUGGAAAUACCCCCAAGCCUUGUCUUUAUCUGUCAACUCCUCCAAAAUGUCAAAACACAAAGAAGAUAACUCUUUCUUAAAUUUUCAACCAUCAAUUUUUUAUUCACCCAGACUAAAAGUCCUGAUUAUCAGUUCUGGGUCCCUGGCAAUGACUGUUGGGUACAAACUGCAAAGCUUUGUUCUGCAGGUAGGGCUGGGCUUUUCAUUGACCAUGGGUUGGAAUAGUUCUGUGGGCAUAGUGUGUCUUCGAAGCCACUAUGUUUUCUGCACUUGUGACUAGAGAGCACCUUGAUAGCUCAGUUGGUAGAGCGGUGGACUGUAAGAUGCUCCUUGUGUGAAACGCUGUGAUCCUAAGGUCGCUGGUUCAACUCCAGCUCCAAGCACCUCCUUGUCAUUGGAAAUACCCCCAAGCCUUGUCUUUAUCUGUCAACUCCUCCAAAAUGUCAAAACACAAAGAAGAUAACUCUUUCUUAAAUUUUCAACCAUUAAUUUUUUAUUCGCCCAGCCUAAAAGUCCUGAUUAUCAGUUCUGGGUCCCUGGCAAUGACUGUUGGGUACAAACUGCAAAGCUUUGUUCUGCAGGUAGGGCUGGGCUUUUCAUUGACCAUGGGUUGGAAUAGUUCUGUGGGCAUAGUGUGUCUUCGAAGCCACUAUGUUUUCUGCACUUGUGACUAGAGAGCACCUUGAUAGCUCAGUUGGUAGAGCGGUGGACUGUAAGAUGCUCCUUGUGUGAAACGCUGUGAUCCUAAGGUCGCUGGUUCAACUCCAGCUCCAAGCACCUCCUUGUCAUUGGAAAUACCCCCAAGCCUUGUCUUUAUCUGUCAACUCCUCCAAAAUGUCAAAACACAAAGAAGAUAACUCUUUCUUAAAUUUUCAACCAUCAAUUUUUUAUUCACUCAGCCUAAAAGUCCUGAUUAUCAGUUCUGGGUCCCUGGCAAUGACUGUUGGGUACAAACUGCAAAGCUUUGUUCUGCAGGUAGGGCUGGGCUUUUCAUUGACCAUGGGUUGGAAUAGUUCUGUGGGCAUAGUGUGUCUUCGAAGCCACUAUGUUUUCUGCACUUGUGACUAGAGAGCACCUUGAUAGCUCAGUUGGUAGAGCGGUGGACUGUAAGAUCCUCCUUGUGAGAAACGCUGUGAUCCUAAGGUCGCUGGUUCAACUCCAGCUCCAAGCACCUCCUUGUCAUUGGAAAUACCCCCAAGCCUUGUUUUUAUCUGUCAACUCCUCCAAAAUGUCAAAACACAAACAAGAUAACUCUUUCUUAAAUUUUCAACCAUCAAUUUUUUAUUCACCCAGCCUAAAAGUCCUGAUUAUCAGUUCUGGGUCCCUGGCAAUGACUGUUGGGUACAAACUGCAAAGCUUUGUUCUGCAGGUAGGGCUGGGCUUUUCAUUGACCAUGGGUUGGAAUAGUUCUGUGGGCAUAGUGUGUCUUCGAAGCCACUAUGUUUUCUGCACUUGUGACUAGAGAGCACCUUGAUAGCUCAGUUGGUAGAGCGGUGGCCUGUAAGAUGCUCCUUGUGUGAAACGCCGUGAUCCUAAGGUCGCUGGUUCAACUCCAGCUCCAAGCACCUCCUUGUCAUUGGAAAUACCCCCAAGCCUUGUCUUUAUCUGUCAACUCCUCCAAAAUGUCAAAACACAAACAAGAUAACUCUUUCUUAAAUUUUCAACCAUCAAUUUUUUAUUCACUCAGCCUAAAAGUCCUGAUUAUCAGUUCUGGGUCCCUGGCAAUGACUGUUGGGUACAAACUGCAAAGCUUUGUUCUGCAGGUAGGGCUGGGCUUUUCAUUGACCAUGGGUUGGAAUAGUUCUGUGGGCAUAGUGUGUCUUCGAAGCCACUAUGUUUUCUGCACUUGUGACUAGAGAGCACCUUGAUAGCUCAGUUGGUAGAGCGGUUGACUGUAAGAUGCUCCUUGUGUGAAACGCUGUGAUCCUAAGGUCGCUGGUUCAACUCCAGCUCCAAGCACCUCCUUGUCAUUGGAAAUACCCCCAAGCCUUGUCUUUAUCUGUCAACUCCUCCAAAAUGUCAAAACACAAAGAAGAUAACUCUUUCUUAAAUUUUCAACCAUCAAUUUUUUAUUCACUCAGCCUAAAAGUCCUGAUUAUCAGUUCUGGGUCCCUGGCAAUGACUGUUGGGUACAAACUGCAAAGCUUUGUUCUGCAGGUAGGGCUGGGCUUUUCAUUGACCAUGGGUUGGAAUAGUUCUGUGGGCAUAGUGUGUCUUCGAAGCCACUAUGUUUUCUGCACUUGUGACUAGAUAGCACCUUGAUAGCUCAGUUGGUAGAGCGGUGGACUGUAAGAUGCUCCUUGUGUGAAACGCUGUGAUCCUAAGGUCGCUGGUUCAACUCCAGCUCCAAGCACCUCCUUGUCAUUGGAAAUACCCCCAAGCCUUGUCUUUAUCUGUCAACUCCUCCAAAAUGUCAAAACACAAACAAGAUAACUCUUUCUUAAAUUUUCAACCAUCAAUUUUUUAUUCACCCAGCCUAAAAGUCCUGAUUAUCAGUUCUGGGUCCCUGGCAAUGACUGUUGGGUACAAACUGCAAAGCUUUGUUCUGCAGGUAGGGCUGGGCUUUUCAUUGACCAUGGGUUGGAAUAGUUCUGUGGGCAUAGUGUGUCUUCGAAGCCACUAUGUUUUCUGCACUUGUGACUAGAGAGCACCUUGAUAGCUCAGUUGGUAGAGCGGUGGCCUGUAAGAUGCUCCUUGUGUGAAACGCCGUGAUCCUAAGGUCGCUGGUUCAACUCCAGCUCCAAGCACCUCCUUGUCAUUGGAAAUACCCCCAAGCCUUGUCUUUAUCUGUCAACUCCUCCAAAAUGUCAAAACACAAACAAGAUAACUCUUUCUUAAAUUUUCAACCAUCAAUUUUUUAUUCACCCAGCCUAAAAGUCCUGAUUAUCAGUUCUGGGUCCCUGGCAAUGACUGUUGGGUACAAACUGCAAAGCUUUGUUCUGCAGGUAGGGCUGGGCUUUUCAUUGACCAUGGGUUGGAAUAGUUCUGUGGGCAAAGUGUGUCUUCGAAGCCACUAUGUUUUCUGCACUUGUGACUAGAGAGCACCUUGAUAGCUCAGUUGGUAGAGCGGUGGACUGUAAGAUCCUCCUUGUGUGAAACGCCGUGAUCCUAAGGUCGCUGGUUCAACUCCAGCUCCAAGCACCUCCUUGUCAUUGGAAAUACCCCCAAGCCUUGUCUUUAUCUGUCAACUCCUCCAAAAUGUCAAAACACAAACAAGAUAACUCUUUCUUAAAUUUUCAACCAUCAAUUUUUUAUUCACCCAGCCUAAAAGUCCUGAUUAUCAGUUCUGGGUCCCUGGCAAUGACUGUUGGGUACAAACUGCAAAGCUUUGUUCUGCAGGUAGGGCUGGGCUUUUCAUUGACCAUGGGUUGGAAUAGUUCUGUGGGCAUAGUGUGUCUUUGAAGCCACUAUGUUUUCUGCACUUGUGACUAGAGAGCACCUUGAUAGCUCAGUUGUUAGAGCGGUGGACUGUAAGAUCCUCCUUGUGUGAAACGCUGUGAUCCUAAGGUCGCUGGUUCAACUCCACCUCCAAGCACCUCCUUGUCAUUGGAAAUACCCCCAAGCCUUGUCUUUAUCUGUCAACUCCUCCAAAAUGUCAAAACACAAACAAGAUAACUCUUUCUUAAAUUUUCAACCAUCAAUGUUUUAUUCACCCAGCCUAAAAGUCCUGAUUAUCAGUUCUGGGUCCCUGGCAAUGACUGUUGGGUACAAACUGCAAAGCUUUGUUCUGCAGGUAGGGCUGGGCUUUUCAUUGACCAUGGGUUGGAAUAGUUCUGUGGGCAUAGUGUGUCUUCGAAGCCACUAUGUUUUCUGCACUUGUGACUAGAGAGCACCUUGAUAGCUCAGUUGGUAGAGCGGUGGACUGUAAGAUGCUCCUUGUGUGAAACGCCGUGAUCCUAAGGUCGCUGGUUCAACUCCAGCUCCAAGCACCUCCUUGUCAUUGGAAAUACCCCCAAGCCUUGUCUUUAUCUGUCAACUCCUCCAAAAUGUCAAAACACAAAGAAGAUAACUCUUUCUUAAAUUUUCAACCAUCAAUUUUUUAUUCACUCAGCCUAAAAGUCCUGAUUAUCAGUUCUGGGUCCCUGGCAAUGACUGUUGGGUACAAACUGCAAAGCUUUGUUCUGCAGGUAGGGCUGGGCUUUUCAUUGACCAUGGGUUGGAAUAGUUCUGUGGGCAUAGUGUGUCUUCGAAGCCACUAUGUUUUCUGCACUUGUGACUAGAGAGCACCUUGAUAGCUCAGUUGGUAGAGCGGUGGACUGUAAGAUGCUCCUUGUGUGAAACGCUGUGAUCCUAAGGUCGCUGGUUCAACUCCAGCUCCAAGCACCUCCUUGUCAUUGGAAAUACCCCCAAGCCUUGUCUUUAUCUGUCAACUCCUCCAAAAUGUCAAAACACAAAGAAGAUAACUCUUUCUUAAAUUUUCAACCAUUAAUUUUUUAUUCGCCCAGCCUAAAAGUCCUGAUUAUCAGUUCUGGGUCCCUGGCAAUGACUGUUGGGUACAAACUGCAAAGCUUUGUUCUGCAGGUAGGGCUGGGCUUUUCAUUGACCAUGGGUUGGAAUAGUUCUGUGGGCAUAGUGUGUCUUCGAAGCCACUAUGUUUUCUGCACUUGUGACUAGAGAGCACCUUGAUAGCUCAGUUGGUAGAGCGGUGGACUGUAAGAUGCUCCUUGUGUGAAACGCUGUGAUCCUAAGGUCGCUGGUUCAACUCCAGCUCCAAGCACCUCCUUGUCAUUGGAAAUACCCCCAAGCCUUGUCUUUAUCUGUCAACUCCUCCAAAAUGUCAAAACACAAACAAGAUAACUCUUUCUUAAAUUUUCAACCAUCAAUUUUUUAUUCACUCAGCCUAAAAGUCCUGAUUAUCAGUUCUGGGUCCCUGGCAAUGACUGUUGGGUACAAACUGCAAAGCUUUGUUCUGCAGGUAGGGCUGGGCUUUUCAUUGACCAUGGGUUGGAAUAGUUCUGUGGGCAUAGUGUGUCUUCGAAGCCACUAUGUUUUCUGCACUUGUGACUAGAGAGCACCUUGAUAGCUCAGUUGGUAGAGCGGUGGACUGUAAGAUGCUCCUUGUGUGAAACGCUGUGAUCUUAAGGUCGCUGGUUCAACUCCAGCUCCAAGCACCUCCUUGUCAUUGGAAAUACCCCCAAGCCUUGUCUUUAUCUGUCAACUCCUCCAAAAUGUCAAAACACAAAGAAGAUAACUCUUUCUUAAAUUUUCAACCAUUAAUUUUUUAUUCGCCCAGCCUAAAAGUCCUGAUUAUCAGUUCUGGGUCCCUGGCAAUGACUGUUGGGUACAAACUGCAAAGCUUUGUUCUGCAGGUAGGGCUGGGCUUUUCAUUGACCAUGGGUUGGAAUAGUUCUGUGGGCAUAGUGUGUCUUCGAAGCCACUAUGUUUUCUGCACUUGUGACUAGAGAGCACCUUGAUAGCUCAGUUGGUAGAGCGGUGGACUGUAAGAUGCUCCUUGUGUGAAACGCUGUGAUCCUAAGGUCGCUGGUUCAACUCCAGCUCCAAGCACCUCCUUGUCAUUGGAAAUACCCCCAAGCCUUGUCUUUAUCUGUCAACUCCUCCAAAAUGUCAAAACACAAACAAGAUAACUCUUUCUUAAAUUUUCAACCAUCAAUUUUUUAUUCACUCAGCCUAAAAGUCCUGAUUAUCAGUUCUGGGUCCCUGGCAAUGACUGUUGGGUACAAACUGCAAAGCUUUGUUCUGCAGGUAGGGCUGGGCUUUUCAUUGACCAUGGGUUGGAAUAGUUCUGUGGGCAUAGUGUGUCUUCGAAGCCACUAUGUUUUCUGCACUUGUGACUAGAGAGCACCUUGAUAGCUCAGUUGGUAGAGCGGUGGACUGUAAGAUGCUCCUUGUGUGAAACGCUGUGAUCCUAAGGUCGCUGGUUCAACUCCAGCUCCAAGCACCUCCUUGUCAUUGGAAAUACCCCCAAGCCUUGUCUUUAUCUGUCAACUCCUCCAAAAUGUCAAAACACAAAGAAGAUAACUCUUUCUUAAAUUUUCAACCAUCAAUUUUUUAUUCACUCAGCCUAAAAGUCCUGAUUAUCAGUUCUGGGUCCCUGGCAAUGACUGUUGGGUACAAACUGCAAAGCUUUGUUCUGCAGGUAGGGCUGGGCUUUUCAUUGACCAUGGGUUGGAAUAGUUCUGUGGGCAUAGUGUGUCUUCGAAGCCACUAUGUUUUCUGCACUUGUGACUAGAGAGCACCUUGAUAGCUCAGUUGGUAGAGCGGUGGACUGUAAGAUGCUCCUUGUGUGAAACGCUGUGAUCCUAAGGUCGCUGGUUCAACUCCAGCUCCAAGCACCUCCUUGUCAUUGGAAAUACCCCCAAGCCUUGUCUUUAUCUGUCAACUCCUCCAAAAUGUCGAAACACAAACAAGAUAACUCUUUCUUAAAUUUUCAACCAUCAAUUUUUUAUUCACCCAGCCUAAAAGUCCUGAUUAUCAGUUCUGGGUCCCUGGCAAUGACUGUUGGGUACAAACUGCAAAGCUUUGUUCUGCAGGUAGGGCUGGGCUUUUCAUUGACCAUGGGUUGGAAUAGUUCUGUGGGCAUAGUGUGUCUUCGAAGCCACUAUGUUUUCUGCACUUGUGACUAGAGAGCACCUUGAUAGCUCAGUUGGUAGAGCGGUGGACUGUAAGAUGCUCCUUGUGUGAAACGCUGUGAUCCUAAGGUCGCUGGUUCAACUCCAGCUCCAAGCACCUCCUUGUCAUUGGAAAUACCCCCAAGCCUUGUCUUUAUCUGUCAACUCCUCCAAAAUGUCAAAACACAAAGAAGAUAACUCUUUCUUAAAUUUUCAACCAUCAAUUUUUUAUUCACUCAGCCUAAAAGUCCUGAUUAUCAGUUCUGGGUCCCUGGCAAUGACUGUUGGGUACAAACUGCAAAGCUUUGUUCUGCAGGUAGGGCUGGGCUUUUCAUUGACCAUGGGUUGGAAUAGUUCUGUGGGCAUAGUGUGUCUUCGAAGCCACUAUGUUUUCUGCACUUGUGACUAGAGAGCACCUUGAUAGCUCAGUUGGUAGAGCGGUGGACUGUAAGAUGCUCCUUGUGAGAAACGCUGUGAUCCUAAGGUCGCUGGUUCAACUCCAGCUCCAAGCACCUCCUUGUCAUUGGAAAUACCCCCAAGCCUUGUCUUUAUCUGUCAACUCCUCCAAAAUGUCAAAACACAAACAAGAUAACUCUUUCUUAAAUUUUCAACCAUCAAUUUUUUAUUCACCCAGCCUAAAAGUCCUGAUUAUCAGUUCUGGGUCCCUGGCAAUGACUGUUGGGUACAAACUGCAAAGCUUUGUUCUGCAGGUAGGGCUGGGCUUUUCAUUGACCAUGGGUUGGAAUAGUUCUGUGGGCAUAGUGUGUCUUCGAAGCCACUAUGUUUUCUGCACUUGUGACUAGAGAGCACCUUGAUAGCUCAGUUGGUAGAGCGGUGGCCUGUAAGAUGCUCCUUGUGUGAAACGCCGUGAUCCUAAGGUCGCUGGUUCAACUCCAGCUCCAAGCACCUCCUUGUCAUUGGAAAUACCCCCAAGCCUUGUCUUUAUCUGUCAACUCCUCCAAAAUGUCAAAACACAAAGAAGAUAACUCUUUCUUAAAUUUUCAACCAUCAAUUUUUUAUUCACUCAGCCUAAAAGUCCUGAUUAUCAGUUCUGGGUCCCUGGCAAUGACUGUUGGGUACAAACUGCAAAGCUUUGUUCUGCAGGUAGGGCUGGGCUUUUCAUUGACCAUGGGUUGGAAUAGUUCUGUGGGCAUAGUGUGUCUUCGAAGCCACUAUGUUUUCUGCACUUGUGACUAGAGAGCACCUUGAUAGCUCAGUUGGUAGAGCGGUUGACUGUAAGAUGCUCCUUGUGUGAAACGCUGUGAUCCUAAGGUCGCUGGUUCAACUCCAGCUCCAAGCACCUCCUUGUCAUUGGAAAUACCCCCAAGCCUUGUCUUUAUCUGUCAACUCCUCCAAAAUGUCAAAACACAAAGAAGAUAACUCUUUCUUAAAUUUUCAACCAUCAAUUUUUUAUUCACUCAGCCUAAAAGUCCUGAUUAUCAGUUCUGGGUCCCUGGCAAUGACUGUUGGGUACAAACUGCAAAGCUUUGUUCUGCAGGUAGGGCUGGGCUUUUCAUUGACCAUGGGUUGGAAUAGUUCUGUGGGCAUAGUGUGUCUUCGAAGCCACUAUGUUUUCUGCACUUGUGACUAGAUAGCACCUUGAUAGCUCAGUUGGUAGAGCGGUGGACUGUAAGAUGCUCCUUGUGUGAAACGCUGUGAUCCUAAGGUCGCUGGUUCAACUCCAGCUCCAAGCACCUCCUUGUCAUUGGAAAUACCCCCAAGCCUUGUCUUUAUCUGUCAACUCCUCCAAAAUGUCAAAACACAAACAAGAUAACUCUUUCUUAAAUUUUCAACCAUCAAUUUUUUUAUUCACCCAGCCUAAAAGUCCUGAUUAUCAGUUCUGGGUCCCUGGCAAUGACUGUUGGGUACAAACUGCAAAGCUUUGUUCUGCAGGUAGGGCUGGGCUUUUCAUUGACCAUGGGUUGGAAUAGUUCUGUGGGCAUAGUGUGUCUUCGAAGCCACUAUGUUUUCUGCACUUGUGACUAGAGAGCACCUUGAUAGCUCAGUUGGUAGAGCGGUGGCCUGUAAGAUGCUCCUUGUGUGAAACGCCGUGAUCCUAAGGUCGCUGGUUCAACUCCAGCUCCAAGCACCUCCUUGUCAUUGGAAAUACCCCCAAGCCUUGUCUUUAUCUGUCAACUCCUCCAAAAUGUCAAAACACAAACAAGAUAACUCUUUCUUAAAUUUUCAACCAUCAAUUUUUUAUUCACCCAGCCUAAAAGUCCUGAUUAUCAGUUCUGGGUCCCUGGCAAUGACUGUUGGGUACAAACUGCAAAGCUUUGUUCUGCAGGUAGGGCUGGGCUUUUCAUUGACCAUGGGUUGGAAUAGUUCUGUGGGCAAAGUGUGUCUUCGAAGCCACUAUGUUUUCUGCACUUGUGACUAGAGAGCACCUUGAUAGCUCAGUUGGUAGAGCGGUGGACUGUAAGAUGCUCCUUGUGUGAAACGCCGUGAUCCUAAGGUCGCUGGUUCAACUCCAGCUCCAAGCACCUCCUUGUCAUUGGAAAUACCCCCAAGCCUUGUCUUUAUCUGUCAACUCCUCCAAAAUGUCAAAACACAAACAAGAUAACUCUUUCUUAAAUUUUCAACCAUCAAUUUUUUAUUCACCCAGCCUAAAAGUCCUGAUUAUCAGUUCUGGGUCCCUGGCAAUGACUGUUGGGUACAAACUGCAAAGCUUUGUUCUGCAGGUAGGGCUGGGCUUUUCAUUGACCAUGGGUUGGAAUAGUUCUGUGGGCAUAGUGUGUCUUUGAAGCCACUAUGUUUUCUGCACUUGUGACUAGAGAGCACCUUGAUAGCUCAGUUGUUAGAGCGGUGGACUGUAAGAUCCUCCUUGUGUGAAAAGCUGUGAUCCUAAGGUCGCUGGUUCAACUCCACCUCCAAGCACCUCCUUGUCAUUGGAAAUACCCCCAAGCCUUGUCUUUAUCUGUCAACUCCUCCAAAAUGUCAAAACACAAAGAAGAUAACUCUUUCUUAAAUUUUCAACCAUCAAUUUUUUAUUCACCCAGCCUAAAAGUCCUGAUUAUCAGUUCUGGGUCCCUGGCAAUGACUGUUGGGUACAAACUGCAAAGCUUUGUUCUGCAGGUAGGGCUGGGCUUUUCAUUGACCAUGGGUUGGAAUAGUUCUGUGGGCAAAGUGUGUCUUCGAAGCCACUAUGUUUUCUGCACUUGUGACUAGAGAGCACCUUGAUAGCUCAGUUGGUAGAGCGGUGGACUGUAAGAUGCUCCUUGUGUGAAACGCCGUGAUCCUAAGGUCGCUGGUUCAACUCCAGCUCCAAGCACCUCCUUGUCAUUGGAAAUACCCCCAAGCCUUGUCUUUAUCUGUCAACUCCUCCAAAAUGUCAAAACACAAACAAGAUAACUCUUUCUUAAAUUUUCAACCAUCAAUUUUUUAUUCACCCAGCCUAAAAGUCCUGAUUAUCAGUUCUGGGUCCCUGGCAAUGACUGUUGGGUACAAACUGCAAAUCUUUGUUCUGCAGGUAGGGCUGGGCUUUUCAUUGACCAUGGGUUGGAAUAGUGCUGUGGGCAUAGUGUGUCUUCGAAGCCACUAUGUUUUCUGCACUUGUGACUAGAGAGCACCUUGAUAGCUCAGUUGGUAGAGCGGUGGACUGUAAGAUGCUGCUUCUGUGAAACGCUGUGAUCCUAAGGUCGCUUGUUCAACUCCAGCUCCAAGCACCUCCUUGACAUUGGAAAUACCCCCAAGCCUUGUCUUUAUCUGUCAACUCCUCCAAAAUGUCAAAACACAAAGAAGAUAACUCUUUCUUAAAUUUUCAACCAUCAAUUUUUUAUUCACCCAGCAACUUGAUAGCUCAGUUGGUAGAGCGGUGGACUGUAAGAUGCUGCUUCUGUGAAACGCUGUGAUCCUAAGGGCGCUGGUUCAACUCCAGCUCCAAGCACCUCCUUGUCAUUGGAAAUACCCCCAAGCCUUGUCUUUAUCUGUCAACUCCUCCAAAAUGUCAAAACACAAAGAAGAUAACUCUUUCUUAAAUUUUCAACCAUCAAUUUUUUAUUCACCCAGCCUAAAAGUCCUGAUUAUCAGUUCUGGGUCCCUGGCAAUGACUGUUGGGUACAAACUGCAAAGCUUUGUUCUGCAGGUAGGGCUGGGCUUUUCAUUGACCAUGGGUUGGAAUAGUUCUGUGGGCAUAGUGUGUCUUCGAAGCCACUAUGUUUUCUGCACUUGUGACUAGAGAGCACCUUGAUAGCUCAGUUGGUAGAGCGGUGGACUGUAAGAUGCUCCUUGUGUGAAACGCCGUGAUCCUAAGGUCGCUGGUUCAACUCCAGCUCUCAAGCACCUCCUUGUCAUUGGAAAUACCCCCAAGCCUUGUCUUUAUCUGUCAACUCCUCCAAAAUGUCAAAACACAAAGAAGAUAACUCUUUCUUAAAUUUUCAACCAUCAAUUUUUUAUUCACCCAGCCUAAAAGUCCUGAUUAUCAGUUCUGGGUCCCUGGCAAUGACUGUUGGGUACAAACUGCAAAGCUUUGUUCUGCGGGUAGGGCUGGGCUUUUCAUUGACCAUGGGUUGGAAUAGUUCUGUGGGCAUAGUGUGUCUUCGAAGCCACUAUGUUUUCUGCACUUGUGACUAGAGAGCACCUUGAUAGCUCAGUUGGUAGAGCGGUGGACUGUAAGAUGCUCCUUGUGUGAAACGCUGUGAUCCUAAGGUCGCUGGUUCAACUCCAGCUCCAAGCACCUCCUUGUCAUUGGAAAUACCCCCAAGCCUUGUCUUUAUCUGUCAACUCCUCCAAAAUGUCAAAACACAAAGAAGAUAACUCUUUCUUAAAUUUUCAACCAUCAAUUUUUUAUUCACCCAGCCUAAAAGUCCUGAUUAUCAGUUCUGGGUCCCUGGCAAUGACUGUUGGGUACAAACUGCAAAGCUUUGUUCUGCAGGUAGGGCUGGGCUUUUCAUUGACCAUGGGUUGGAAUAGUUCUGUGGGCAUAGUGUGUCUUCGAAGCCACUAUGUUUUCUGCACUUGUGACUAGAGAGCACCUUGAUAGCUCAGUUGGUAGAGCGGUGGACUGUAAGAUGCUCCUUGUGUGAAACGCCGUGAUCCUAAGCUCGCUGGUUCAACUCCAGCUCCAAGCACCUCCUUGUCAUUGGAAAUACCCCCAAGCCUUGUCUUUAUCUGUCAACUCCUCCAAAAUGUCAAAACACAAAGAAGAUAACUCUUUCUUAAAUUUUCAACCAUCAAUUUUUUAUUCACUCAGCCUAAAAGUCCUGAUUAUCAGUUCUGGGUCCCUGGCAAUGACUGUUGGGUACAAACUGCAAAGCUUUGUUCUGCAGGUAGGGCUGGGCUUUUCAUUGACCAUGGGUUGGAAUAGUUCUGUGGGCAUAGUGUGUCUUCGAAGCCACUAUGUUUUCUGCACUUGUGACUAGAGAGCACCUUGAUAGCUCAGUUGGUAGAGCGGUGGACUGUAAGAUGCUCCUUGUGUGAAACGCCGUGAUCCUAAGCUCGCUGGUUCAACUCCAGCUCCAAGCACCUCCUUGUCAUUGGAAAUACCCCCAAGCCUUGUCUUUAUCUGUCAACUCCUCCAAAAUGUCAAAACACAAAGAAGAUAACUCUUUCUUAAAUUUUCAACCAUCAAUUUUUUAUUCACCCAGCCUAAAAGUCCUGAAUAUCAGUUCUGGGUCCCUGGCAAUGACUGUUGGGUACAAACUGCAAAGCUUUGUUCUGCAGGUAGGGCUGGGCUUUUCAUUGACCAUGGGUUGGAAUAGUUCUGUGGGCAUAGUGUGUCUUCGAAGCCACUAUGUUUUCUGCACUUGUGACUAGAGAGCACCUUGAUAGCUCAGUUGGAAGAGAGGUGGACUGUAAGAUGCUCCUUGUGUGAAACGCCGUGAUCCUAAGGUCGCUGGUUCAACUCCAGCUCCAAGCACCUCCUUGUCAUUGGAAAUACCCCCAAGCCUUGUCUUUAUCUGUCAACUCCUCCAAAAUGUCAAAACACAAACAAGAUAACUCUUUCUUAAAUUUUCAACCAUCAAUUUUUUAUUCACUCAGCCUAAAAGUCCUGAUUAUCAGUUCUGGGUCCCUGGCAAUGACUGUUGGGUACAAACUGCAAAGCUUUGUUCUGCAGGUAGGGCUGGGCUUUUCAUUGACCAUGGGUUGGAAUAGUUCUGUGGGCAUAGUGUGUCUUCGAAGCCACUAUGUUUUCUGCACUUGUGACUAGAGAGCACCUUGAUAGCUCAGUUGGUAGAGCGGUGGACUGUAAGAUGCUCCUUGUGUGAAACGCUGUGAUCCUAAGGUCGCUGGUUCAACUCCAGCUCCAAGCACCUCCUUGUCAUUGGAAAUACCCCCAAGCCUUGUCUUUAUCUGUCAACUCCUCCAAAAUGUCAAAACACAAAGAAGAUAACUCUUUCUUAAAUUUUCAACCAUCAAUUUUUUAUUCACCCAGACUAAAAGUCCUGAUUAUCAGUUCUGGGUCCCUGGCAAUGACUGUUGGGUACAAACUGCAAAGCUUUGUUCUGCAGGUAGGGCUGGGCUUUUCAUUGACCAUGGGUUGGAAUAGUUCUGUGGGCAUAGUGUGUCUUCGAAGCCACUAUGUUUUCUGCACUUGUGACUAGAGAGCACCUUGAUAGCUCAGUUGGAAGAGAGGUGGACUGUAAGAUGCUCCUUGUGUGAAACGCCGUGAUCCUAAGGUCGCUGGUUCAACUCCAGCUCCAAGCACCUCCUUGUCAUUGGAAAUACCCCCAAGCCUUGUCUUUAUCUGUCAACUCCUCCAAAAUGUCAAAACACAAACAAGAUAACUCUUUCUUAAAUUUUCAACCAUCAAUUUUUUAUUCACUCAGCCUAAAAGUCCUGAUUAUCAGUUCUGGGUCCCUGGCAAUGACUGUUGGGUACAAACUGCAAAGCUUUGUUCUGCAGGUAGGGCUGGGCUUUUCAUUGACCAUGGGUUGGAAUAGUUCUGUGGGCAUAGUGUGUCUUCGAAGCCACUCUGUUUUCUGCACUUGUGACUAGAGAGCACCUUGAUAGCUCAGUUGGUAGAGCGGUGGACUGUAAGAUGCUCCUUGUGUGAAACGCUGUGAUCCUAAGGUCGCUGGUUCAACUCCAGCUCCAAGCACCUCCUUGUCAUUGGAAAUACCCCCAAGCCUUGUCUUUAUCUGUCAACUCCUCCAAAAUGUCAAAACACAAAGAAGAUAACUCUUUCUUAAAUUUUCAACCAUUAAUUUUUUAUUCGCCCAGCCUAAAAGUCCUGAUUAUCAGUUCUGGGUCCCUGGCAAUGACUGUUGGGUACAAACUGCAAAGCUUUGUUCUGCAGGUAGGGCUGGGCUUUUCAUUGACCAUGGGUUGGAAUAGUUCUGUGGGCAUAGUGUGUCUUCGAAGCCACUAUGUUUUCUGCACUUGUGACUAGAGAGCACCUUGAUAGCUCAGUUGGUAGAGCGGUGGACUGUAAGAUGCUCCUUGUGUGAAACGCCGUGAUCCUAAGGUCGCUGGUUCAACUCCAGCUCCAAGCACCUCCUUGUCAUUGGAAAUACCCCCAAGCCUUGUCUUUAUCUGUCAACUCCUCCAAAAUGUCAAAACACAAACAAGAUAACUCUUUCUUAAAUUUUCAACCAUCAAUUUUUUAUUCACUCAGCCUAAAAGUCCUGAUUAUCAGUUCUGGGUCCCUGGCAAUGACUGUUGGGUACAAACUGCAAAGCUUUGUUCUGCAGGUAGGGCUGGGCUUUUCAUUGACCAUGGGUUGGAAUAGUUCUGUGGGCAUAGUGUGUCUUCGAAGCCACUAUGUUUUCUGCACUUGUGACUAGAGAGCACCUUGAUAGCUCAGUUGGUAGAGCGGUGGACUGUAAGAUGCUCCUUGUGUGAAACGCUGUGAUCCUAAGGUCGCUGGUUCAACUCCAGCUCCAAGCACCUCCUUGUCAUUGGAAAUACCCCCAAGCCUUGUCUUUAUCUGUCAACUCCUCCAAAAUGUCAAAACACAAAGAAGAUAACUCUUUCUUAAAUUUUCAACCAUCAAUUUUUUAUUCACUCAGCCUAAAAGUCCUGAUUAUCAGUUCUGGGUCCCUGGCAAUGACUGUUGGGUACAAACUGCAAAGCUUUGUUCUGCAGGUAGGGCUGGGCUUUUCAUUGACCAUGGGUUGGAAUAGUUCUGUGGGCAUAGUGUGUCUUCGAAGCCACUAUGUUUUCUGCACUUGUGACUAGAGAGCACCUUGAUAGCUCAGUUGGUAGAGCGGUGGACUGUAAGAUGCUCCUUGUGUGAAACGCUGUGAUCCUAAGGUCGCUGGUUCAACUCCAGCUCCAAGCACCUCCUUGUCAUUGGAAAUACCCCCAAGCCUUGUCUUUAUCUGUCAACUCCUCCAAAAUGUCAAAACACAAACAAGAUAACUCUUUCUUAAAUUUUCAACCAUCAAUUUUUUAUUCACCCAGCCUAAAAGUCCUGAUUAUCAGUUCUGGGUCCCUGGCAAUGACUGUUGGGUACAAACUGCAAAGCUUUGUUCUGCAGGUAGGGCUGGGCUUUUCAUUGACCAUGGGUUGGAAUAGUUCUGUGGGCAUAGUGUGUCUUCGAAGCCACUAUGUUUUCUGCACUUGUGACUAGAGAGCACCUUGAUAGCUCAGUUGGUAGAGCGGUGGCCUGUAAGAUGCUCCUUGUGUGAAACGCUGUGAUCCUAAGGUCGCUGGUUCAACUCCAGCUCCAAGCACCUCCUUGUCAUUGGAAAUACCCCCAAGCCUUGUCUUUAUCUGUCAACUCCUCCAAAAUGUCAAAACACAAAGAAGAUAACUCUUUCUUAAAUUUUCAACCAUCAAUUUUUUAUUCACCCAGCCUAAAAGUCCUGAUUAUCAGUUCUGGGUCCCUGGCAAUGACUGUUGGGUACAAACUGCAAAGCUUUGUUCUGCAGGUAGGGCUGGGCUUUUCAUUGACCAUGGGUUGGAAUAGUUCUGUGGGCAAAGUGUGUCUUCGAAGCCACUAUGUUUUCUGCACUUGUGACUAGAGAGCACCUUGAUAGCUCAGUUGGUAGAGCGGUGGACUGUAAGAUGCUCCUUGUGUGGAACGCUGUGAUCCUAAGGUCGCUGGUUCAACUCCAGCUCCAAGCACCUCCUUGUCAUUGGAAAUACCCCCAAGCCUUGUCUUUAUCUGUCAACUCCUCCAAAAUGUCAAAACACAAACAAGAUAACUCUUUCUUAAAUUUUCAACCAUCAAUUUUUUAUUCACCCAGCCUAAAAGUCCUGAUUAUCAGUUCUGGGUCCCUGGCAAUGACUGUUGGGUACAAACUGCAAAGCUUUGUUCUGCAGGUAGGGCUGGGCUUUUCAUUGACCAUGGGUUGGAAUAGUUCUGUGGGCAUAGUGUGUCUUUGAAGCCACUAUGUUUUCUGCACUUGUAACUAGAGAGCACCUUCAUAGCUCAGUUGGUAGAGCGGUGGCCUGUAAGAUGCUCCUUGUGUGAAACGCUGUGAUCCUAAGGUCGCUGGUUCAACUCCACCUCCAAGCACCUCCUUGUCAUUGGAAAUACCCCCAAGCCUUGUCUUUAUCUGUCAACUCCUCCAAAAUGUCAAAACACAAACAAGAUAACUCUUUCUUAAAUUUUCAACCAUCAAUUUUUUAUUCGCCCAGCCUAAAAGUCCUGAUUAUCAGUUCUGGGUCCCUGGCAAUGACUGUUGGGUACAAACUGCAAAGCUUUGUUCUGCAGGUAGGGCUGGGCUUUUCAUUGACCAUGGGUUGGAAUAGUUCUGUGGGCAUAGUGUGUCUUUGAAGCCACUAUGUUUUCUGCACUUGUGACUAGAGAGCACCUUGAUAGCUCAGUUGUUAGAGCGGUGGACUGUAAGAUCCUCCUUGUGUGAAACGCUGUGAUCCUAAGGUCGCUGGUUCAACUCCACCUCCAAGCACCUCCUUGUCAUUGGAAAUACCCCCAAGCCUUGUCUUUAUCUGUCAACUCCUCCAAAAUGUCAAAACACAAACAAGAUAACUCUUUCUUAAAUUUUCAACCAUCAAUUUUUUAUUCACCCAGACUUAAAGUCCUGAUUAUCAGUUCUGGGUCCCUGGCAAUGACUGUUGGGUACAAACUGCAAAGCUUUGUUCUGCAGGUAGGGCUGGGCUUUUCAUUGACCGUGGGUUGGAAUAGUUCUGUGGGCAUAGUGUGUCUUCGAAGCCACUAUGUUUUCUGCACUUGUGACUAGAGAGCACCUUGAUAGCUCAGUUGGUAGAGCGGUGGACUGUAAGAUGCUCCUUGUGUGGAACGCUGUGAUCCUAAGGUCGCUGGUUCAACUCCAGCUCCAAGCACCUCCUUUUCAUUGGAAAUACCCCCAAGCCUUGUCUUUAUCUGUCAACUCCUCCAAAAUGUCAAAACACAAACAAGAUAACUCUUUCUUAAAUUUUCAACCAUCAAUUUUUUAUUCGCCCAGACUAAAAGUCCUGAUUAUCAGUUCUGGGUCCCUGGCAAUGACUGUUGGGUACAAACUGCAAAGCUUUGUUCUGCAGGUAGGGCUGGGCUUUUCAUUGACCAUGGGUUGGAAUAGUUCUGUGGGCAUAGUGUGUCUUCGAAGCCACUAUGUUUUCUGCACUUGUGACUAGAGAGCACCUUGAUAGCUCAGUUGGUAGAGCGGUGGACUGUAAGAUGCUCCUUGUGUGAAAUGCUGUGAUCCUAAGUUCGCUUGUUCAACUCCAGCUCCAAGCACCUCCUUGUCAUUGGAAAUACCCCCAAGCCUUGUCUUUAUCUGUCAACUCCUCCAAAAUGUCAAAACACAAAGAAGAUAACUCUUUCUUAAAUUUUCAACCAUCAAUUUUUUAUUCACUCAGCCUAAAAGUCCUGAUUAUCAGUUCUGGGUCCCUGGCAAUGACUGUUGGGUACAAACUGCAAAGCUUUGUUCUGCAGGUAGGGCUGGGCUUUUCAUUGACCAUGGGUUGGAAUAGUUCUGUGGGCAUAGUGUGUCUUCGAAGCCACUAUGUUUUCUGCACUUGUGACUAGAGAGCACCUUGAUAGCUCAGUUGGUAGAGCGGUGGACUGUAAGAUGCUCCUUGUGUGAAACGCUGUGAUCCUAAGUUCGCUGGUUCAACUCCAGCUCCAAGCACCUCCUUGUCAUUGGAAAUACCCCCAAGCCUUGUCUUUAUCUGUCAACUCCUCCAAAAUGUCAAAACACAAACAAGAUAACUCUUUCUUAAAUUUUCAACCAUCAAUUUUUUAUUCACCCAGCCUAAAAGUCCUGAUUAUCAGUUCUGGGUCCCUGGCAAUGACUGUUGGGUACAAACUGCAAAGCUUUGUUCUGCAGGUAGGGCUGGGCUUUUCAUUGACCAUGGGUUGGAAUAGUUCUGUGGGCAUAGUGUGUCUUCGAAGCCACUAUGUUUUCUGCACUUGUGACUAGAGAGCACCUUGAUAGCUCAGUUGGUAGAGCGGUGGACUGUAAGAUGCUCCUUGUGUGAAAUGCUGUGAUCCUAAGGUCGCUGGUUCAACUCCAGCUCCAAGCACCUCCUUGUCAUAGGAAAUACCCCCAAGCCUUGUCUUUAUCUGUCAACUCCUCCAAAAUGUCAAAACACAAACAAGAUAACUCUUUCUUAAAUUUUCAACCAUCAAUGUUUUAUUCACCCAGCCUAAAAGUCCUGAUUAUCAGUUCUGGGUCCCUGGCAAUGACUGUUGGGUACAAACUGCAAAGCUUUGUUCUGCAGGUAGGGCUGGGCUUUUCAUUGACCAUGGGUUGGAAUAGUUCUGUGGGCAUAGUGUGUCUUCGAAGCCACUAUGUUUUCUGCACUUGUGACUAGAGAGCACCUUGAUAGCUCAGUUGGUAGAGCGGUGGACUGUAAGAUGCUCCUUGUGGGAAACGCCGUGAUCCUAAGGUCGCUGGUUCAACUCCAGCUCCAAGCACCUCCUUGUCAUUGGAAAUACCCCCAAGCCUUGUCUUUAUCUGUCAACUCCUCCAAAAUGUCAAAACACAAAGAAGAUAACUCUUUCUUAAAUUUUCAACCAUCAAUUUUUUAUUCACCCAGCCUAAAAGUCCUGAUUAUCAGUUCUGGGUCCCUGGCAAUGACUGUUGGGUACAAACUGCAAAGCUUUGUUCUGCAGGUAGGGCUGGGCUUUUCAUUGACCAUGGGUUGGAAUAGUGCUGUGGGCAUAGUGUGUCUUCGAAGCCACUAUGUUUUCUGCACUUGUGACUAGAGAGCACCUUGAUAGCUCAGUUGGUAGAGCGGUGGACUGUAAGAUGCUCCUUGUGUGAAACGCUGUGAUCCUAAGUUCGCUGGUUCAACUCCAGCUCCAAGCACCUCCUUGUCAUUGGAAAUACCCCCAAGCCUUGUCUUUAUCUGUCAACUCCUCCAAAAUGUCAAAACACAAAGAAGAUAACUCUUUCUUAAAUUUUCAACCAUCAAUGUUUUAUUCACCCAGCCUAAAAGUCCUGAUUAUCAGUUCUGGGUCCCUGGCAAUGACUGUUGGGUACAAACUGCAAAGCUUUGUUCUGCAGGUAGGGCUGGGCUUUUCAUUGACCAUGGGUUGGAAUAGUUCUGUGGGCAUAGUGUGUCUUCGAAGCCACUAUGUUUUCUGCACUUGUGACUACAGAGCACCUUGAUAGCUCAGUUGGUAGAGCGGUGGACUGUAAGAUGCUCCUUGUGUGAAAUGCUGUGAUCCUAAGGUCGCUGGUUCAACUCCAGCUCCAAGCACCUCCUUGUCAUUGGAAAUACCCCAAAGCCUUGUCUUUAUCUGUCAACUCCUCCAAAAUGUCAAAACACAAAGACGAUAACUCUUUCUUAAAUUUUCAACCAUCAAUUUUUUAUUCACCCAGCCUAAAAGUCCUGAUUAUCAGUUCUGGGUCCCUGGCAAUGACUGUUGGGUACAAACUGCAAAGCUUUGUUCUGCAGGUAGGGCUGGGCUUUUCAUUGACCAUGGGUUGGAAUAGUUCUGUGGGCAUAGUGUGUCUUUGAAGCCACUAUGUUUUCUGCACUUGUGACUACAGAGCACCUUGAUAGCUCAGUUGGUAGAGCGGUGGACUGUAAGAUGCUCCUUGUGUGAAACGCCGUGAUCCUAAGGUCGCUGGUUCAACUCCAGCUCCAAGCACCCCCUUGUCAUUGGAAAUACCCCCAAGCCUUGUCUUUAUCUGUCAACUCCUCCAAAAUGUCAAAACACAAAGAAGAUAACUCUUUCUUAAAUUUUCAACCAUCAAUUUUUUAUUCACCCAGCCUAAAAGUCCUGAUUAUCAGUUCUGGGUCCCUGGCAAUGACUGUUGGGUACAAACUGCAAAGCUUUGUUCUGCGGAUAGGGCUGGGCUUUUCAUUGACCAUGGGUUGGAAUAGUUCUGUGGGCAUAGUGUGUCUUCGAAGCCACUAUGUUUUCUGCACUUGUGACUAGAGAGCACCUUGAUAGCUCAGUUGGUAGAGCGGUGGACUGUAAGAUGCUCCUUGUGUCAAACGCUGUGAUCCUAAGGUCGCUGGUUCAACUCCAGCUCCAAGCACCUCCUUGUCAUUGGAAAUACCCCCAAGCCUUGUCUUUAUCUGUCAACUCCUCCAAAAUGUCAAAACACAAACAAGAUAACUCUUUCUUAAAUUUUCAACCAUCAAUUUUUUAUUCGCCCAGCCUAAAAGUCCUGAUUAUCAGUUCUGGGUCCCUGGCAAUGACUGUUGGGUACAAACUGCAAAGCUUUGUUCUGCAGGUAGGGCUGGGCUUUUCAUUGACCAUGGGUUGGAAUAGUUCUGUGGGCAUAGUGUGUCUUUGAAGCCACUAUGUUUUCUGCACUUGUGACUAGAGAGCACCUUGAUAGCUCAGUUGUUAGAGCGGUGGACUGUAAGAUCCUCCUUGUGUGAAACGCUGUGAUCCUAAGGUCGCUGGUUCAACUCCACCUCCAAGCACCUCCUUGUCAUUGGAAAUACCCCCAAGCCUUGUCUUUAUCUGUCAACUCCUCCAAAAUGUCAAAACACAAAGAAGAUAACUCUUUCUUAAAUUUUCAACCAUCAAUUUUUUAUUCACCCAGACUAAAAGUCCUGAUUAUCAGUUCUGGGUCCCUGGCAAUGACUGUUGGGUACAAACUGCAAAGCUUUGUUCUGCAGGUAGGGCUGGGCUUUUCAUUGACCAUGGGUUGGAAUAGUUCUGUGGGCAUAGUGUGUCUUCGAAGCCACUAUGUUUUCUGCACUUGUGACUAGAGAGCACCUUGAUAGCUCAGUUGGUAGAGCGGUGGACUGUAAGAUGCUCCUUGUGUGGAACGCUGUGAUCCUAAGGUCGCUGGUUCAACUCCAGCUCCAAGCACCUCCUUUUCAUUGGAAAUACCCCCAAGCCUUGUCUUUAUCUGUCAACUCCUCCAAAAUGUCAAAACACAAAGAAGAUAACUCUUUCUUAAAUUUUCAACCAUCAAUUUUUUAUUCGCCCAGACUAAAAGUCCUGAUUAUCAGUUCUGGGUCCCUGGCAAUGACUGUUGGGUACAAACUGCAAAGCUUUGUUCUGCAGGUAGGGCUGGGCUUUUCAUUGACCAUGGGUUGGAAUAGUUCUGUGGGCAUAGUGUGUCUUCGAAGCCACUAUGUUUUCUGCACUUGUGACUAGAGAGCACCUUGAUAGCUCAGUUGGUAGAGCGGUGGACUGUAAGAUGCUCCUUGUGUGAAAUGCUGUGAUCCUAAGGUCGCUGGUUCAACUCCAGCUCCAAGCACCUCCUUGUCAUUGGAAAUACCCCCAAGCCUUGUCUUUAUCUGUCAACUCCUCCAAAAUGUCAAAACACAAAGAAGAUAACUCUUUCUUAAAUUUUCAACCAUCAAUUUUUUAUUCACUCAGCCUAAAAGUCCUGAUUAUCAGUUCUGGGUCCCUGGCAAUGACUGUUGGGUACAAACUGCAAAGCUUUGUUCUGCAGGUAGGGCUGGGCUUUUCAUUGACCAUGGGUUGGAAUAGUUCUGUGGGCAUAGUGUGUCUUCGAAGCCACUAUGUUUUCUGCACUUGUGACUAGAGAGCACCUUGAUAGCUCAGUUGGUAGAGCGGUGGACUGUAAGAUGCUCCUUGUGUGAAACGCUGUGAUCCUAAGUUCGCUGGUUCAACUCCAGCUCCAAGCACCUCCUUGUCAUUGGAAAUACCCCCAAGCCUUGUCUUUAUCUGUCAACUCCUCCAAAAUGUCAAAACACAAACAAGAUAACUCUUUCUUAAAUUUUCAACCAUCAAUGUUUUAUUCACCCAGCCUAAAAGUCCUGAUUAUCAGUUCUGGGUCCCUGGCAAUGACUGUUGGGUACAAACUGCAAAGCUUUGUUCUGCAGGUAGGGCUGGGCUUUUCAUUGACCAUGGGUUGGAAUAGUUCUGUGGGCAUAGUGUGUCUUCGAAGCCACUAUGUUUUCUGCACUUGUGACUAGAGAGCACCUUGAUAGCUCAGUUGGUAGAGCGGUGGACUGUAAGAUGCUCCUUGUGGGAAACGCCGUGAUCCUAAGGUCGCUGGUUCAACUCCAGCUCCAAGCACCUCCUUGUCAUUGGAAAUACCCCCAAGCCUUGUCUUUAUCUGUCAACUCCUCCAAAAUGUCAAAACACAAAGAAGAUAACUCUUUCUUAAAUUUUCAACCAUCAAUUUUUUAUUCACCCAGCCUAAAAGUCCUGAUUAUCAGUUCUGGGUCCCUGGCAAUGACUGUUGGGUACAAACUGCAAAGCUUUGUUCUGCAGGUAGGGCUGGGCUUUUCAUUGACCAUGGGUUGGAAUAGUGCUGUGGGCAUAGUGUGUCUUCGAAGCCACUAUGUUUUCUGCACUUGUGACUAGAGAGCACCUUGAUAGCUCAGUUGGUAGAGCGGUGGACUGUAAGAUGCUCCUUGUGUGAAACGCUGUGAUCCUAAGUUCGCUGGUUCAACUCCAGCUCCAAGCACCUCCUUGUCAUUGGAAAUACCCCCAAGCCUUGUCUUUAUCUGUCAACUCCUCCAAAAUGUCAAAACACAAAGAAGAUAACUCUUUCUUAAAUUUUCAACCAUCAAUGUUUUAUUCACCCAGCCUAAAAGUCCUGAUUAUCAGUUCUGGGUCCCUGGCAAUGACUGUUGGGUACAAACUGCAAAGCUUUGUUCUGCAGGUAGGGCUGGGCUUUUCAUUGACCAUGGGUUGGAAUAGUUCUGUGGGCAUAGUGUGUCUUCGAAGCCACUAUGUUUUCUGCACUUGUGACUACAGAGCACCUUGAUAGCUCAGUUGGUAGAGCGGUGGACUGUAAGAUGCUCCUUGUGUGAAAUGCUGUGAUCCUAAGGUCGCUGGUUCAACUCCAGCUCCAAGCACCUCCUUGUCAUUGGAAAUACCCCAAAGCCUUGUCUUUAUCUGUCAACUCCUCCAAAAUGUCAAAACACAAAGACGAUAACUCUUUCUUAAAUUUUCAACCAUCAAUUUUUUAUUCACCCAGCCUAAAAGUCCUGAUUAUCAGUUCUGGGUCCCUGGCAAUGACUGUUGGGUACAAACUGCAAAGCUUUGUUCUGCAGGUAGGGCUGGGCUUUUCAUUGACCAUGGGUUGGAAUAGUUCUGUGGGCAUAGUGUGUCUUUGAAGCCACUAUGUUUUCUGCACUUGUGACUACAGAGCACCUUGAUAGCUCAGUUGGUAGAGCGGUGGACUGUAAGAUGCUCCUUGUGUGAAACGCCGUGAUCCUAAGGUCGCUGGUUCAACUCCAGCUCCAAGCACCUCCUUGUCAUUGGAAAUACCCCCAAGCCUUGUCUUUAUCUGUCAACUCCUCCAAAAUGUCAAAACACAAAGAAGAUAACUCUUUCUUAAAUUUUCAACCAUCAAUUUUUUAUUCACCCAGCCUAAAAGUCCUGAUUAUCAGUUCUGGGUCCCUGGCAAUGACUGUUGGGUACAAACUGCAAAGCUUUGUUCUGCGGAUAGGGCUGGGCUUUUCAUUGACCAUGGGUUGGAAUAGUUCUGUGGGCAUAGUGUGUCUUCGAAGCCACUAUGUUUUCUGCACUUGUGACUAGAGAGCACCUUGAUAGCUCAGUUGGUAGAGCGGUGGACUGUAAGAUGCUCCUUGUGUCAAACGCUGUGAUCCUAAGGUCGCUGGUUCAACUCCAGCUCCAAGCACCUCCUUGUCAUUGGAAAUACCCCAAAGCCUUGUCUUUAUCUGUCAACUCCUCCAAAAUGUCAAAACACAAAGAAGAUAACUCUUUCUUAAAUUUUCAACCAUCAAUUUUUUAUUCACCCAGCCUAAAAGUCCUGAUUAUCAGUUCUGGGUCCCUGGCAAUGACUGUUGGGUACAAACUGCAAAGCUUUGUUCUGCAGGUAGGGCUGGGCUUUUCAUUGACCAUGGGUUGGAAUAGUUCUGUGGGCAUAGUGUGUCUUCGAAGCCACUAUGUUUUCUGCACUUGUGACUAGAGAGCACCUUGAUAGCUCAGUUGGUAGAGCGGUGGACUGUAAGAUGCUCCUUGUGGGAAACGCCGUGAUCCUAAGUUCGCUGGUUCAACUCCAGCUCCAAGCACCUCCUUGUCAUUGGAAAUACCCCAAAGCCUUGUCUUUAUCUGUCAACUCCUCCAAAAUGUCAAAACACAAACAAGAUAACUCUUUCUUAAAUUUUCAACCAUCAAUUUUUUAUUCACCCAGACUAAAAGUCCUGAUUAUCAGUUCUGGGUCCCUGGCAAUGACUGUUGGGUACAAACUGCAAAGCUUUGUUCUGCAGGUAGGGCUGGGCUUUUAAUUGACCAUGGGUUGGAAUAGUUCUGUGGGCAUAGUGUGUCUUCGAAGCCACUAUGUUUUCUGCACUUGUGACUAGAGAGCACCUUGAUAGCUCAGUUGGUAGAGCGGUGAACUGUAAGAUGCUCCUUGUGUGAAACGCUGUGAUCCUCAGGUCGCUGGUUAAACUCCAGCUCCAAGCACCUCCUUGUCAUUGGAAAUACCCCCAAGCCUUGUCUUUAUCUGUCAACUCCUCCAAAAUGUCAAAACACAAAGAAGAUUACUCUUUCUUAAAUUUUCAACCAUCAAUUUUUUAUUCACCCAGCCUAAAAGUCCUGAUUAUCAGUUCUGGGUCCCUGGCAAUGACUGUUGGGUACAAACUGCAAAGCUUUGUUCUGCAGGUAGGGCUGGGCUUUUCAUUGACCAUGGGUUGGAAUAGUUCUGUGGGCAUAGUGUGUCUUCGAAGCCACUAUGUUUUCUGCACUUGUGACUAGAGAGCACCUUGAUAGCUCAGUUGGUAGAGCGGUGGACUGUAAGAUGCUCCUUGUGUGAAACGCUGUGAUCCUAAGGUCGCUGGUUCAACUCCAGCUCCAAGCACCUCCUUGUCAUUGGAAAUACCCCAAAGCCUUGUCUUUAUCUGUCAACUCCUCCAAAAUGUCAAAACACAAAGAAGAUAACUCUUUCUUAAAUUUUCAACCAUCAAUGUUUUAUUCACCCAGUCUAAAAGUCCUGAUUAUCAGUUCUGGGUCCCUGGCAAUGACUGUUGGGUACAAACUGCAAAGCUUUGUUCUGCAGGUAGGGCUGGGCUUUUCAUUGACCAUGGGUUGGAAUAGUUCUGUGGGCAUAGUGUGUCUUCGAAACCACUAUGUUUUCUGCACUUGUGACUAGAGAGCACUUUGAUAGCUCAGUUGGUAGAGCGGUGCACUGUAAGAUGCUCCUUGUGUGAAACGCUGUGAUCCUAAGGUCGCUGGUUCAACUCCAGCUCCAAGCACCUCCUUGUCAUUGGAAAUACCCCCAAGCCUUGUCUUUAUCUGUCAACUCCUCCAAAAUGUCAAAACACAAAGAAGAUAACUCUUUCUUAAAUUUUCAACCAUCAAUGUUUUAUUCACCCAGCCUAAAAGUCCUGAUUAUCAGUUCUGGGUCCCUGGCAAUGACUGUUGGGUACAAACUGCAAAGCUUUGUUCUGCAGGUAGGGCUGGGCUUUUCAUUGACCAUGGGUUGGAAUAGUUCUGUGGGCAUAGUGUGUCUUCGAAGCCACUAUGUUUUCUGCACUUGCGACUAGAGAGCACCUUGAUAGAGAGCGGUGGACUGUAAGAUGCUCCUUGUGUGAAACGCUGUGAUCCUAAGGUCGCUGGUUCAACUCCAGCUCCAAGCACCUCCUUGUCAUUGGAAAUACCCCCAAGCCUUGUCUUUAUCUGUCAACUCCUCCAAAAUGUCAAAACACAAAGAAGAUAACUCUUUCUUAAAUUUUCAACCAUCAAUGUUUUAUUCACCCAGCCUAAAAGUCCUGAUUAUCAGUUCUGGGUCCCUGGCAAUGACUGUUGGGUACAAACUGCAAAGCUUUGUUCUGCAGGUAGGGCUGGGCUUUUCAUUGACCAUGGGUUGGAAUAGUUCUGUGGGCAUAGUGUGUCUUCGAGGCCACUAUGUUUUCUGCACUUGUGACUAGAGAGCACCUUGAUAGCUCAGUUGGUAGAGCGGUGGACUGUAAGAUGCUCCUUGUGUGAAACGCUGUGAUCCUAAGUUCGCUGGUUCAACUCCAGCUCCAAGCACCUCCUUGUCAUUGGAAAUACCCCCAAGCCUUUUCUUUAUCUGUCAACUCCUCCAAAAUGUCAAAACACAAAGAAGAUAACUCUUUCUUAAAUUUUCAACCAUCAAUGUUUUAUUCACCCAGUCUAAAAGUCCUGAUUAUAAGUUCUGGGUCCCUGGCAAUGACUGUUGGGUACAAACUGCAAAGCUUUGUUCUGCAGGUAGGGCUGGGCUUUUCAUUGACCAUGGGUUGGAAUAGUUCUGUGGGCAUAGUGUGUCUUCGAAGCCACUAUGUUUUCUGCACUUGUGACUAGAGAGCACUUUGAUAGCUCAGUUGGUAGAGCGGUGCACUGUAAGAUGCUCCUUGUGUGAAACGCUGUGAUCCUAAGUUCGCUGGUUCAACUCCAGCUCCAAGCACCUCCUUGUCAUUGGAAAUACCCCCAAGCCUUUUCUUUAUCUGUCAACUCCUCCAAAAUGUCAAAACACAAAGAAGAUAACUCUUUCUUAAAUUUUCAACCAUCAAUGUUUUAUUCACCCAGUCUAAAAGUCCUGAUUAUAAGUUCUGGGUCCCUGGCAAUGACUGUUGGGUACAAACUGCAAAGCUUUGUUCUGCAGGUAGGGCUGGGCUUUUCAUUGACCAUGGGUUGGAAUAGUUCUGUGGGCAUAGUGUGUCUUCGAAGCCACUAUGUUUUCUGCACUUGUGACUAGAGAGCACUUUGAUAGCUCAGUUGGUAGAGCGGUGCACUGUAAGAUGCUCCUUGUGUGAAACGCUGUGAUCCUAAGUUCGCUGGUUCAACUCCAGCUCCAAGCACCUCCUUGUCAUUGGAAAUACCCCCAAGCCUUGUCUUUAUCUGUCAACUCCUCCAAAAUGUCAAAACACAAAGAAGAUAACUCUUUCUUAAAUUUUCAACCAUCAAUGUUUUAUUCACCCAGUCUAAAAGUCCUGAUUAUCAGUUCUGGGUCCCUGGCAAUGACUGUUGGGUACAAACUGCAAAGCUUUGUUCUGCAGGUAGGGCUGGGCUUUUCAUUGACCAUGGGUUGGAAUAGUUCUGUGGGCAUAGUGUGUCUUCGAAGCCACUAUGUUUUCUGCACUUGUGACUAGAGAGCACCUUGAUAGCUCAGUUGGUAGAGCGGUUGACUGUAAGAUGCUCCUUGUGUGAAACGCUGUGAUCCUAAGGUCGCUGGUUCAACUCCAGCUCCAAGCACCUCCUUGUCAUUGGAAAUACCCCCAAGCCUUGUCUUUAUCUGUCAACUCCUCCAAAAUGUCAAAACACAAAGAAGAUAACUCUUUCUUAAAUUUUCAACCAUCAAUGUUUUAUUCACCCAGUCUAAAAGUCCUGAUUAUCAGUUCUGGGUCCCUGGCAAUGACUGUUGGGUACAAACUGCAAAGCUUUGUUCUGCAGGUAGGGCUGGGCUUUUCAUUGACCAUGGGUUGGAAUAGUUCUGUGGGCAUAGUGUGUCUUCGAAGUCACUAUGUUUUCUGCACUUGUGACUAGAGAGCACCUUGAUAGCUCAGUUGGUAGAGCGGUGGACUGUAAGAUGCUCCUUGUGUGAAACGCUGUGAUCCUAAGGUCGCUGGUUCAACUCCAGCUCCAAGCACCUCCUUGUCAUUGGAAAUACCCCCAAGCCUUGUCUUUAUCUGUCAACUCCUCCAAAAUGUCAAAACACAAAGAAGAUAACUCUUGCUUAAAUUUUCAACCAUCAAUGUUUUAUUCACCCAGCCUAAAAGUCCUGAUUAUCAGUUCUGGGUCCCUGGCAAUGACUGUUGGGUACAAACUGCAAAGCUUUGUUCUGCAGGUAGGGCUGGGCUUUUCAUUGACCAUGGGUUGGAAUAGUUCUGUGGGCAUAGUGUGUCUUCGAAGCCACUAUGUUUUCUGCACUUGUGACUAGAGAGCACCUUGAUAGCUCAGUUGGUAGAGCGGUGGACUGUAAGAUGCUCCUUGUGUGAAACGCUGUGAUCCUAAGGUCGCUGGUUCAACUCCAGCUCCAAGCACCUCCUUGUCAUUGGAAAUACCCCCAAGCCUUGUCUUUAUCUGUCAACUCCUCCAAAAUGUCAAAACACAAAGAAGAUAACUCUUGCUUAAAUUUUCAACCAUCAAUGUUUUAUUCACCCAGCCUAAAAGUCCUGAUUAUCAGUUCUGGGUCCCUGGCAAUGACUGUUGGGUACAAACUGCAAAGCUUUGUUCUGCAGGUAGGGCUGGGCUUUUCAUUGACCAUGGGUUGGAAUAGUUCUGUGGGCAUAGUGUGUCUUCGAAGCCACUAUGUUUUCUGCACUUGUGACUAGAGAGCACCUUGAUAGCUCAGUUGGUAGAGCGGUGGACUGUAAGAUGCUCCUUGUGUGAAACGCUGUGAUCCUAAGGUCGCUGGUUCAACUCCAGCUCCAAGCACCUCCUUGUCAUUGGAAAUACCCCCAAGCCUUGUCUUUAUCUGUCAACUCCUCCAAAAUGUCAAAACACAAAGAAGAUAACUCUUUCUUAAAUUUUCAACCAUCAAUGUUUUAUUCACCCAGCCUAAAAGUCCUGAUUAUCAGUUCUGGGUCCCUGGCAAUGACUGUUGGGUACAAACUGCAAAGCUUUGUUCUGCAGGUAGGGCUGGGCUUUUCAUUGACCAUGGGUUGGAAUAGUUCUGUGGGCAUAGUGUGUCUUCGAAGCCACUAUGUUUUCUGCACUUGUGACUAGAGAGCACCUUGAUAGCUCAGUCGUUAGAGCGGUGGACUGUAAGAUGCUCCUUGUGUCAAACGCAGUGAUCCUAAGGUCGCUGGUUCAACUCCAGCUCCAAGCACCUCCUUGUCAUUGGAAAUACCCCCAAGCCUUGUCUUUAUCUGUCAACUCCUCCAAAAUGUCAAAACACAAACAAGAUAACUCUUUCUUAAAUUUUCAACCAUCAAUUUUUUAUUCACCCAGCCUAAAAGUCCUGAUUAUCAGUUCUGGCUCCCUGGCAAUGACUGUUGGGUACAAACUGCAAAUCUUUGUUCUGCAGGUAGGGCUGGGCUUUUCAUUGACCAUGGGUUGGAAUAGUUCUGUGGGCAUAGUGUGUCUUCGAAGCCACUAUGUUUUCUGCACUUGUGACUAGAGAGCACCUUGAUAGCUCAGUUGGUAGAGCGGUGGACUGUAAGAUGCUCCUUGUGUCAAACGCCGUGAUCCUAAGGUCGCUGGUUCAACUCCAUCUCCAAGCAGCUCCUUGUCAUUGGAAAUACCCCCAAGCCUUGUCUUUAUCUGUCAACUCCUCCAAAAUGUCAAAACACAAACAAGAUAACUCUUUCUUAAAUUUUCAACCAUCAAUUUUUUAUUCACCCAGCCUAAAAGUCCUGAUUAUCAGUUCUGGGUCCCUGGCAAUGACUGUUGGGUAAAAACUGCAAAGCUUUGUUCUGCAGGUAGGGCUGGGCUUUUCAUUGACCAUGGGUUGGAAUAGUUCUGUGGGCAUAGUGUGUCUUCGAAGCCACUAUGUUUUCUGCACUUGUGACUAGAGAGCACCUUGAUAGCUCAGUUGGUAGAGCGGUGGACUGUAAGAUGCUCCUUGUGUGAAACGCUGUGAUCCUAAGGUCGUUGGUUCAACUCCAGCUCCAAGCACCUCCUUGUCAUUGGAAAUACCCCCAAGCCUUGUCUUUAUCUGUCAACUCCUCCAAAAUGUCAAAACACAAAGAAGAUAACUCUUUCUUAAAUUUUCAACCAUCAAUUUUUUAUUCACCCAGCCUAAAAGUCCUGAUUAUCAGUUCUGGGUCCCUGGCAAUGACUGUUGGGUACAAACUGCAAAUCUUUGUUC